RNAcentral lists this transfer RNA (76 nucleotides) under Candidatus Bipolaricaulota bacterium. Its description in RNAcentral is "tRNA-Trp". It matches the Rfam family "tRNA". Rfam says of the family: Transfer RNA (tRNA) molecules are approximately 80 nucleotides in length. Their secondary structure includes four short double-helical elements and three loops (D, anti-codon, and T loops). Further hydrogen bonds mediate the characteristic L-shaped molecular structure. tRNAs have two regions of fundamental functional importance: the anti-codon, which is responsible for specific mRNA codon recognition, and the 3' end, to which the tRNAs corresponding amino acid is attached (by aminoacyl-tRNA synthetases). tRNAs cope with the degeneracy of the genetic code in two manners: having more than one tRNA (with a specific anti-codon) for a particular amino acid; and 'wobble' base-pairing, i.e. permitting non-standard base-pairing at the 3rd anti-codon position. The record is from RNAcentral. Lineage: Bacteria; Candidatus Bipolaricaulota.
AGGCCCGUAGCUCAAUUGGCAGAGCGCCGGACUCCAAAUCCGAAGGCUGGGGGUUCAAGUCCUCCCGGGCCUGCCA